CCUCGAUAAUCUUCUUUUUAGGGUUUUGCUCGAAUUUGUGUGACAACAUCUUAUCAACUCUCGUUGAUAUGUAAUCAACCCUCGUUGAUAUAGUUCUAAUCAACCCUUGUUGAUCCUCAUCAUGAUCAACUCUCGUUGAUCUAUUACUAAUCAACUCUCCUUGAUCUAUUACUAAUCAACUCUCCUUGAUCAUAAUCAACGUUUGUUGAUCUAUCUAAUCAACCCUCGUUGAUCAACAAUCAGAAGUUGGUGUGCAAUGAAAAAAGGAAGGAUCUUGGUAAUAUCAUGUGAGUUUGGUUUCUAAUUGCAAUUAAUUCUUUGUGAGAUUUUAUUUGUAGCUUUCGUUGAUUAUCCUUGGAAUCUCCUUGUCUGACCGAUGAUCUUCUUGUUAGGGUUUUGCUUGUCAUCGAGAGGUUAAUAUGAGCGUACGGCAAUAAAACAACAUCUUAUCAACUCUCGUUUAAUCUCACCAUCAACUCUCGUUUGAUCUCACCAUCAAUUCUCGUUGAUCUCAUCAUCAACUCUUGUUGAUCCUAAUAAUCAACUCUCGUUGAUCCCAUAUCCUAAUCAACUCUCGUUGAACCCAUAUCCUAAUCAUCUCUCGUUGAUCCUUAUAAUCAACUCUCGUUGUUUUCAUAUCCUAAUCAACUCUCGUUGAUCCUUAUAAUCAACUCUCGUUGAUCCCAUAUAUCAAGAAUCUUGAAUAUAUCUCCAUAUAUUUAAGA
Long non-coding RNA from Arabidopsis lyrata subsp. lyrata, 725 nucleotides. RefSeq lists it as uncharacterized. The transcript has 2 exons. Lineage: Eukaryota; Viridiplantae; Streptophyta; Magnoliopsida; Brassicales; Brassicaceae. The record is from RefSeq and is a predicted model, not a curated record.